CAUGGUGAGAACAAAGUUCACUGGGUAGCAUGGGACAAGAUGUAUCUUCCAAAACGAGAUGGUGGCAUGGGCUUCAGGAACUUUGAGGCUUUCAACCAAGCCUUGUUAGCUAAGCAAGCGUGGAGGCUGCUGUAAGUGCCUGACUCGCUCGUCGCCAGGCUUCUACGGGCUCGGUACUAUAAGGAUCCCUCUAUCAUGCAGGCUACGUGCCCCUCAAACGGAUCAUACACCUUUCGGAGUAUCCUAUUUGGUCGUGACUUGCUGAAAGAGGGGCUGGUUUGGCGAGUUGGCGAUGGGGCUGAUAUCUUAAUUCACCAUGAUAACUGGAUUCCUCGGAAGGGUUCUAUGCGGCCGCUAGGACAAAUCUUCAUGAAUGGAAUCACUAGGGUGGCGGACCUGCUCUCGGAAGGUGGUGAUGGCUGGGAUCAUGCAACUGUUGAUGCAAUGUUUUCUGCUGAUGAUGCUGAAGAUAUUAAGCAAAUUCCGGUCGGUGGACAUGGGGCUCAUGAUCUCCUAGCUUGGAACUUUACAAAAUCUGGGGAGUUCAAUGUUCGUUCGGCCUAUCAUCUUGCUAUGAGCUUACGGCGUGCGAAAGCUGGCCGACCAGAAGGUUCAUCGUCGGUACACACCCACAGGAAUUGGCUGGCUUUGUGGAAUACCCAUGUCCCAAACAAAGUUAAAAUUCAUGUAUGGAGACUACUGUCUAAUGGGCUAGCCACCGGGUUAGAGUUGCAUCGCCUGCGCAUUAAGCCAGGCGUUUUCUGCGCGGCGUGUGGGAGGGAAGAGACACUGGUCCAUCGCUUCUGGGCUGUCCACACUCGAAGGUUUUCUGGCAAGAAUUAG
This 843-nucleotide ribosomal RNA is filed under the name Triticum aestivum (bread wheat). Its description in RNAcentral is "partial small subunit ribosomal RNA". The record is from RNAcentral. Lineage: Eukaryota; Viridiplantae; Streptophyta; Magnoliopsida; Poales; Poaceae.